UACGUAGGGGGCAAGCGUUAUCCGGAAUUAUUGGGCGUAAAGGGUGCGUAGGCUGCCUUAUGGGUCAGAGGUUAAAGGCUACGGCUUAACCGUAGCAUGCCUUUGAAACUAUAGGGCUUGAGUGCAGGAGAGGAGAGUGGAAUUCCUAGUGUAGCGGUGAAAUGCGUAGAUAUUAGGAGGAAUACCAGUGGCGAAGGCGACUCUCUGGACUGCAACUGACGCUAAGGCACGAAAGCGUGGGUAGCGAACAGGAUUAGAUACCC
RNAcentral lists this ribosomal RNA (263 nucleotides) under uncultured bacterium. RNAcentral describes it as "partial 16S ribosomal RNA". It matches the Rfam family "Bacterial small subunit ribosomal RNA", at positions 524 to 787 of the family's 1533-position model. The record is from RNAcentral.